CCUACGGGAGGCAGCAGUGGGGAAUAUUGGACAAUGGGCGGAAGCCUGAUCCAGCCAUGCCGCGUGUGUGAAGAAGGCCUUUUGGUUGUAAAGCACUUUAAGCGAGGAGGAGGCUACUAGUAUUAAUACUACUGGAUAGUGGACGUUACUCGCAGAAUAAGCACCGGCUAACUCUGUGCCAGCAGCCGCGGUAAUACAGAGGGUGCGAGCGUUAAUCGGAUUUACUGGGCGUAAAGCGUGCGUAGGCGGCUGAUUAAGUCGGAUGUGAAAUCCCUGAGCUUAACUUAGGAAUUGCAUUCGAUACUGGUCAGCUAGAGUAUGGGAGAGGAUGGUAGAAUUCCAGGUGUAGCGGUGAAAUGCGUAGAGAUCUGGAGGAAUACCGAUGGCGAAGGCAGCCAUCUGGCCUAAUACUGACGCUGAGGUACGAAAGCAUGGGGAGCAAACAGGAUUAGAUACCCUGGUAGUCCAUGCCGUAAACGAUGUCUACUAGCCGUUGGGGUCUUUGAGACUUUAGUGGCGCAGCUAACGCGAUAAGUAGACCGCCUGGGGAGUACGGUCGCAAGACUAAAACUCAAAGGAAUUGACGG
This 587-nucleotide ribosomal RNA is filed under the name uncultured bacterium. RNAcentral's name for it is "bacterial SSU rRNA". It matches the Rfam family "Bacterial small subunit ribosomal RNA", at positions 338 to 916 of the family's 1533-position model. The record is from RNAcentral.